Onychostoma macrolepis is the source of this 771-nucleotide long non-coding RNA. RefSeq lists it as uncharacterized. The record is from RefSeq and is a predicted model, not a curated record. The transcript has 4 exons. Lineage: Eukaryota; Metazoa; Chordata; Actinopteri; Cypriniformes; Cyprinidae.
UAUUUUGACAGGAAAAUACAACAAAGAAUAUCGUUUACAUGUAGCGCGUCAAUUCUGCAUGUUAUGAAAGACUCUCUUGCUCUGUAUCUUUCUUUGCGUGCGAGUAUGUGAGAGAAAGCGACGUCGAGUCGUGCGCCUUCACACUAGAGUUUAUGACUGCAUUGGUUAAGUUUACGGGGCUGUCACGUGAUGAACAAAUGACUCAAACCCGAAGACUUGUCAGAUAAGAGGUGAGCAGCUGUCAUGACAUCCAGUUCAUCUCCUCUAUCUUCAUGGGCCUCAAGUCCAUGUUUUCCAGGCGCUGAGAGGAUAUUCCAGCUGAUUGGCCCAGUGUGAGAGUGGCAAGAACACAGAUCACCAUUAACUCAGGCACAUCUGGAGUUAUUUCUUCAUAUCUUGCUCAGAACUCAAGGUAUUCAGCCGAAAGAAUUGGACAGGUUGACUCGAGCAGUGCUGUUGUUAUCUAGCGCCUGCACAUGUCUGCAUGUGGACAAAACCCAUCAGUGUAACCACUGGAGCGGCAGCCAUCUUAUCGUGAACAGAACCAGCUUCCUUCUUCCCCCUUUCCUGCACUGGACCCCAGCGGUCAUGUCAAACGGAUAUGACUGAAGCGUCUCGGCUCUUGACACCUCUCUUAAGGUCUGAGAUUACAGGACUGGGAAUUAGACGUCAUCGGAAGAGACUAUCAGCCCCUGACACACCGUACAUGUUCAGCAUGGCAUGAUAAUCUCUCUGCGUGUGUUAACAUGACAUUAAAGCAAUUGUGCUUUA